CCCUUAGAUGUUCUGGGCUGCACGCGCGCUACACUGGUGCGUUCAGCGAGUUUAGCACCUUAACAGAUAUGUUUGGGUAAUCUUCUGAAAACGCACCGUGAUGGGGAUCGAUUAUUGUAAUUAUUAAUCGUCAACGAGGAAUUCCUAGUAAGUGUUAAUCAUCAGUUCGCGCUGAUUACGUCCCUGCCCUUUGUACACACCGCCCGUCGCUGCUACCGAUUGAGUGGUCCGGUGAAUUAUUCGGACCGGUGGACUGUGGGGAAACCCGCGGCCUGCUGGGAAGUCUUGUGAACCUUAUCACUUAGAGGAAGCAGAAGUCGUAACA
This 325-nucleotide ribosomal RNA is filed under the name uncultured eukaryote. RNAcentral describes it as "partial 18S ribosomal RNA". It matches the Rfam family "Eukaryotic small subunit ribosomal RNA", at positions 1470 to 1796 of the family's 1831-position model. The record is from RNAcentral.